Molecule: long non-coding RNA, 546 nt
Organism: Marmota flaviventris (yellow-bellied marmot)
Lineage: Eukaryota; Metazoa; Chordata; Mammalia; Rodentia; Sciuridae
Source: RefSeq, a predicted model, not a curated record
ACUAACAAAUCCUGGGUGUGGGCUGCCCCUGGGAGGGAUGUCGCCUCGGGCAGGGGAGCCCAUCGCUGAGGACCCUGCCUGGGGAAGAAGGCCGUGGAGAGCCAGCAGAGAGCAGUUCCUGCAUCUGGGGCAGUCGGUGCCUCGGCCAUGCCAGGGGAACAGGGAGAGCACCGCUUGGCACCCACCACAGUCCACCUUGUGCCCAUCUGCUCCAGACAGUAAGCUCCUCUCUUUUGCUGGGGACCAGGGGAGUAAUGUGGAUCUUCUCUGCUACAGUCUUGAAGUGACAGCAAGAGAGCGCCAUGACCUGCAGGAGGCACAGUUCCCCCCGCCCCUUGCUGCACUAUCCCAGUGGGGCUUCCCCCAUCAGAGGUUGAGCCAUGCUGUGUGAAUCCUGGAUACUGGCAAGGAUUGGCCAAAGAAAGCAGCUGUCUCCUGUGACACACCCAAGUCUCCUCUCCUGGGAAAGCCCUCAGGAGGAGUCUCCUUUGUCAAUAAUUAAACAAUUCCUGAAGGCUGGCAGGCUGGAGGGAAUGUGCAUUUGCU